This 212-nucleotide ribosomal RNA is filed under the name uncultured archaeon. RNAcentral's name for it is "partial 16S ribosomal RNA". It matches the Rfam family "Archaeal small subunit ribosomal RNA", at positions 462 to 673 of the family's 1478-position model. The record is from RNAcentral.
UAGCCACGGUAACACCAGCUCCCCGAGUGGUCAGGACGGUUAUUGGGCCUAAAGCAUCCGUAGCCGGCUCUGUAGGUCUUCUGUUAAAUUCACCGACUCAAUCGGUGAGCUGCAGGAGAUACCGCAGGGCUAGGAGGCGGGAGAGGUGGACGGUACUCCAAGGGUAGGGGUAAAAAUCCUCUGAUCCUUGGAAGACCACCGGUGGCGAAGGC